AGGAGUUUAGGUUAUAACAAGACCAGAAGCCUUCAAAGCUUCAAGUAGGCGACCCACGCCUAACUCCUG
Molecule: transfer RNA, 69 nt
Filed under: Dendrogale murina (Northern smooth-tailed tree shrew)
Lineage: Eukaryota; Metazoa; Chordata; Mammalia; Scandentia; Tupaiidae
Description: tRNA-Trp
Source: RNAcentral